Molecule: non-coding RNA, 352 nt
Organism: Mycoplasma sp. CAG:472
Lineage: Bacteria; Bacillati; Mycoplasmatota; Mollicutes; Mycoplasmatales; Mycoplasmataceae
Rfam family: transfer-messenger RNA
About the family: Bacterial tmRNA, also known as 10Sa RNA or SsrA, is named for its dual tRNA and mRNA-like properties. Its role is to liberate the mRNA from a stalled ribosome.
Source: Rfam
GGGGUAGAUUGGUUUCGACAUAUGUUAAUAGAUAUGAUUGCAAGUAGUUGGCAAACUAUAAAUGCACAAAAAAAAUAAAUGACGAAACUUCUUAUAGUUUCACUCCUGCAUUUGCCUAAUUAGAGGUUUGGGAGUACUCACUUACCUUCUUGCUUAUUGAAAGUAAAAUGGGUUCAUAUUAAUAAGCUAUAUUUAUUAUAUUUUUUGAGUAUAGUAAAUGAAUAUUAAUCAAAAUUACUAUUUAUGAGGUUCGUUUUAGCCAUAUAGAUAGGAAAUUUAAAUAGAACUAAACUUGUAGAUAUUGUAUAAUAUGACAUAUUGGACAGGAGUUCAAUUCUCCUCUACUCCACCA